UAAACGACUCUCGGCAACGGAUAUCUCGGCUCACGCAUCGAUGAAGAACGUAGCAAAAUGCGAUACUUGGUGUGAAUUGCAGAAUCCCGUGAACCAUCGAGUUUUGAACGCAAGUGCGCCCGAAGCCA
This 128-nucleotide ribosomal RNA is filed under the name Doniophyton weddellii. RNAcentral's name for it is "partial 5.8S ribosomal RNA". It matches the Rfam family "5.8S ribosomal RNA", at positions 1 to 125 of the family's 154-position model. Rfam says of the family: 5.8S ribosomal RNA (5.8S rRNA) is a component of the large subunit of the eukaryotic ribosome. It is transcribed by RNA polymerase I as part of the 45S precursor that also contains 18S and 28S rRNA. Lineage: Eukaryota; Viridiplantae; Streptophyta; Magnoliopsida; Asterales; Asteraceae. The record is from RNAcentral.